Long non-coding RNA from Papaver somniferum (opium poppy), 2346 nucleotides. RefSeq lists it as uncharacterized. The transcript has 4 exons. Lineage: Eukaryota; Viridiplantae; Streptophyta; Magnoliopsida; Ranunculales; Papaveraceae. The record is from RefSeq and is a predicted model, not a curated record.
GGCCUUGAAAGAAGCUACUAAACUAGGCCCAUUGUACAUAGGUGUUUAAUGGGGUUUGGUCUAGCAGUGGGGCCAACUGGCUGGAUCUGGAUAGGGUUCUGGGUCCCGCUUUAAGCCUAACAAAAAAAAAAAGAAAAAAAAAAUCUAUUUCCGAGUCAGCUGAGUUUGACCAACUCCAUUUCGUUGUCUCAUCUCAAUCAAACUCUAACUCUCUCAAAAUUCUAGGUUUUGCUCUCGUUUCCGUCUUUCUUCUUCUCCUUCCACUGGAAGGUGAAAAUGUUACCAUCAAUGGAGAACCUUCAUCAGCAUCAGCAUCAUCAUCAGUAUCUAGGUAUGUUUUCCUCAAAUUACAGAAUCUAAUUGCUCUCAAUAAAACUAGGGUUAGUUCCAUGUUCUCUUUCUUUUCUACUAGUAAUAAUCUUAAUUCUUCUGAUUCUUCAUUUAUAGUUAGUUAUUUGAUAAAUUCAUAUGGAUUAUCUGAAAAUUUAGCUCUCACUGUUUCUUCAAAUCAAAUUCGAAAUCAUAUCCCAACCAGAUUCAACCUAGAGAUUUUGAGAUGUGAAGGUGUCCCUGAAUCUACUAUUAUCAGCUGUCUAAUUAACAAUCCUAGAGCAUUUACAAGAGAUGCUGAUAAAUCUAAAAAGAUUGUGGAAAAUGGUUAAGGAAUGGGUUUCAAUCCUUUACAUACAUUAUUUAUUUACUGUAGCUAUAUGGAAAUUGACAUCAAUGAGUAAAGCCACUUGGAAAUCAAAAAUGGAUGUUUACAAGAGAUGGGGUUGGUCUGGAGAUCAGAUUCAAACAGCAUUUAGGAAAUGUCCAUGUUGUAUGACGUAUUCCGAGAAGAAGAUCAUGGAAGUUAUGGAUUUCCUUGUGAAUGAAGUGGGUUAUGAUUCAUUAAGUACAGCUGAAAACCCAAAGAUUUUAAAUGGUAGCUUGAUUGAAUGGAUUAUCCCUAGGGGCUCGGUUAUAAGAAUUUUAGUCACAAAGGGUUUGAUUUAGGAAACAAUUUGUCUGAGGUCACUUGGAGUGACGGCAAAUAAACCCUUCUCGGACAAGUUUGUGAAACCAUAUGAGCAAGAGACUCUCGAAUCAGGAUUACAUAAUCAGUAUGAGCAAGAAGCUCCUGAAUCAAUGAAGGCAUUUAAAGGUCAGUUAAAUAACUGAGAGCUACUUCUGAAAUGAAGGAUUUGAAGAGUUUAUAUGCGCUAGUACUGACGCUGGCCAGGGGAUAGCUUGUGGAUGGUACUACCGUGUUUCAUGCCUCAGUAUCAUUGAUCCAGAUGAUUCUGAUAUAUCAUCUACAGUAAGCGGAGAAAGCUAGUGUAUUCUGUCACUAGAUUCAGAAUUUUCCUUGUUCGUUUCUGUCUCUCCUCUACAUUAAGUUGAAUUAUACGAGUUGAUUUGAAUCAUAUCAACCAUAUAGUGAACUAGUCUCUCUUGGUGGAUAAAGAGAGUUUAGAGCAUGGUGAUAGUGAGCUGACCUUUCGAGUGAUAUCCAUGAGAUCAUGGAAAUUUUACACUCCAAUCCAUGAUUUGGAGGGUUCAAUCAAACCUGCUUUCAUUAUCUCUAUCUCAUCCUCCUCUUCAUCCCAGUCUGAUAAGACUCUUGGAACACCGAUGAUGGCACCAGAUCGGUUAGAACCAAUUCAGAGCUCUUGUAGUGGGGUCUUCAAUCAGUAUGGUUCUUUUGUAGAGGAUUCUAAUUCGUGUGGUUCAAUCCCAUAUCCAUAUGAUGGAAAAAUUACUGCUUUGAUGGAAGCUGCUAACAAGAAAAAUAAAGGGCCUCAGGAACAGCUCUCAGGGCUUGCUCUAGAUGCUUCACAGCCACCAGUGCAGAAGAAGCCGAAGCUUUAGCGUUAAGGAAGGCGGCUGAGUGGGCAACAUAAAUGUCUUUGCAAAUUUUUUGGAUUGAAGGCGACUGCGAAGGACUCAUUUCAAAAGCUCAAGGAAGCCUCCGCACGAUCAAACGGCAGAAUGAAAAAAUACUGACAGAGACAACAUAUCUUGCCUACAGCUCCAAAUUCUUUUUCUUUUGGGUUUUCUGUUCAUCUCUAAGAAGGGUUAUAGAGUGACAGACAAACUAGCAAAGGAAGCAAGGAAGCCUGGCAGGUAUCAAGCUGGAACUUUAACACUCUAAUGCCUAGUUAUAUCUUAAAGUUUUUAUUUUCAGAUAGUUUUAAUGUGGAUAUCAGGGAUGAUAGGUCUUUCCUCUGUUUAAGAGAGACACUCAUGUUGGGAGCUAUACCUACAUCCUGUUGCUAUGUGAGGAGCAACAGUCACAAGUUACAUGUUUAAUUUUGAACAAUUUGAUGUUUCUGAUAAUAAUAGCAGAUAUCUUGACGGAAA